CAAACGACUCUCGGCAACGGAUAUCUCGGCUCUCGCAUCGAUGAAGAACGUAGCGAAAUGCGAUACUUGGUGUGAAUUGCAGAAUCCCGUGAACCAUCGAGUCUUUGAACGCAAGUUGCGCCCAAAGCCAUUAGGCCGAGGGCACGCCUGCCUGGGCGUCACGA
RNAcentral lists this ribosomal RNA (164 nucleotides) under Kallstroemia californica. RNAcentral describes it as "5.8S ribosomal RNA". It matches the Rfam family "5.8S ribosomal RNA". From Rfam's summary of the family: 5.8S ribosomal RNA (5.8S rRNA) is a component of the large subunit of the eukaryotic ribosome. Lineage: Eukaryota; Viridiplantae; Streptophyta; Magnoliopsida; Zygophyllales; Zygophyllaceae. The record is from RNAcentral.